Long non-coding RNA from Amphiprion ocellaris (clown anemonefish), 1740 nucleotides. RefSeq lists it as uncharacterized. The record is from RefSeq and is a predicted model, not a curated record. Lineage: Eukaryota; Metazoa; Chordata; Actinopteri; Pomacentridae. The transcript is spliced from 2 exons.
UCUUCCUGUUCACCUCUUAAAACCCCAAAACACACCGCAGUAGCACCCCAAACUAAAACUACCAAUGGGUUCUCUGUUUUCCUUUCUGAACAAUUCAAAGGUCCCUCUCUGUCUCCCCACACAUCCACCAACCACUGGAACACAUCUCCAAAGUUCUGCCGGGCCAGCUCAGCUUCCCCUCAGAAGAAGUUCCACCAGAUGAAGGAACCUUUUGAGAGGCAGCUGGCAUCGUGAUUGGACUGUACUUUGGUCUGUUCCAAUCCAGCUUCAGCUCCAGAGACGGCAGGCGGGACGAGUCAACGGAGGCCGGGUGGACGAAGGCAUGCAGCUGAGUACAAUCCAGAAAACAACAGAGGAGGAGUGCAGUGACCCAGGGCCAGAACAAACAACCAAAGAACUACAGACUCUUCACAACCUGCUCAAACUCUUGGUACAGGACCUCACCACACGGGUCAAGAAGGUUUCUGUCUCAUUUCUACUCUGAAGCUCACCUUCUCCUGCUCAAACUGCUGACAAAUGUUUCUGCUGCUCUAAAGUCUGGUCUCCAGAACUUUCUAAAAACUCUCAAAGUCUCUUCUGCUGCAGGUUGCUUUGUAGAACUGUUACAGAAAACCUCACUAAACCACAUGGAGGGGCCUCAAGAUAGUCGUCCAAAUGAAACCAUACAAAAACCAAACUGGCACAACCCAAACGCUAAAGUCUCCUGCAGCCUACCAGAGAACCUCUGAGAACAGAGAAUCAGGACAGGAACUCUUACCUUCUGGACAACCAACGUUGGUUCUCAAACAAGAAUACAGAAUGUGUCUGACCAAAAAUCUCUAAAGACUCACUACAGCCAAGAUAAAGACACAACUCAGCUGCACCAAAUCCACUAAUCACUGCACACAUUAGCACCAUGUGCUAACUGUGGCUAAAGAACCUCAUUUACCAAGACAACUAUCCAGUACAAAGCCCUAAAACACACCAAGAAACACAUUAAAGAUGAUUUUACUGCUGGAAGCUGCAAGCCAACGCCUAAAGAACAAACUGAAGCAACGGAACCAAACCCGGUUCAUUGGUGAACAGAAGCAGAGGAAAUGUUUGUCUGCAGCUAAAUAAAGCAGGAAGACACUGAGCUGCUCAGGUGUUCCUGAUAACACCAAGCAGCCACCUGGACAGCCAAUAGGAACACAGCUUACUGGAAGUCCAGAGGGCGGGGUUAGUGAAGGAAAUUUAAUUUAAAGUUGAAGCAUAAAGUUAACAAAGAAAGUUGAAAACCACCUUCUGAUACCUGAAAUCUCUGAGUUUUCACACAAAGAACACCUGAACAUGUCAAACUGGUUCCAUAGUAGAACCAUCAUUGUAAAAACGUCAUAGUAUGGUGUGUUGCUCAAAAAACAUUAUGACCCGGCUGUCUAGGGUCGCCGAGGAGCAACACAAAAACAGGACAAACGCUGGUUUCCAGGGGGUUAGGCAGCUGUUUAUUUGAAAGAGUAAGUUUACAACAACACAACAUGUGAGCAGAAAAAUCACAGUCUGUCUUUAGUUCAGCUGAAAAUAUUAGUUUUUGUCUUUUUUAUUGACCAAACUUUUCAGGAAGUAGAUGAAGAAUAAUUAAAGCUCUCAUGUAGAAGUCCAACUUAUUUUGGAUCCUUGUGGAGAGUUUAAUCUUAGAGUUUGUACAGCUGUUGAGUUUUUAGAGUCACAUGGAUUGUUUUGACAUUUAAUAACUGAGUCCUGAAAUAAAAUUACAGUUGUGGA